Molecule: long non-coding RNA, 470 nt
Organism: Perca fluviatilis (European perch)
Lineage: Eukaryota; Metazoa; Chordata; Actinopteri; Perciformes; Percidae
Exons: 3
Source: RefSeq, a predicted model, not a curated record
GAUCUGGAGCAGCUUCCAGGUGUGCGGUUUUAAACUAUUUACAGAACUGAGUUGGAGUUGGACUUUUGAAAAACUACCUUAUCGAAAAAGGAAAGCUUUGCAAAAUGCCCCCGUCACAAGCGCACAAGUAAACUAGGCUAGUCAUUUUUUGUAAACUUAAAAUGAGCAGGAACUAAGGGACUUUCGCUAGAGUGUUCCACGCCAGGUCGACAACGCACCAUCAAACAAGAUGAGGUGUGUCCGCUCCAAUUGAAUCAUAUCUGGAUUUAAACAACUUGGUGGAUUCUAUUAGGCUACUCAGAAACUCGCCACGAAUGUCUGCAAGAUCGUGUCUGGCGCCAAGACGUGAUUUAAGGUGUCUUACUGUACUUCCCAGUGGCCAGAGAGGUGAGAAGAGGCUAUAAUACAUCUACACCAGGAACUGAUCAGACUCGUCUUCUUCCACCAUUUAGCGGCGACAAUAUAUGAGA